Molecule: long non-coding RNA, 3039 nt
Organism: Artibeus jamaicensis (Jamaican fruit-eating bat)
Lineage: Eukaryota; Metazoa; Chordata; Mammalia; Chiroptera; Phyllostomidae
Exons: 3
Source: RefSeq, a predicted model, not a curated record
CUGAGUUGCCAGGGAGGAGGCACCGGCUGGCAGCUCAGUCACACAGUGUCAGGGCCAGAGCUCAGUGUUCUGCCUUCUGACUCUAAAACCUACCUUCCAGUGCUCCUUUUGGGUGUUCGUGGCUGUUCAUAACGGCCCAGAUGCCCCCUCCGGUGGCCCCUCCAUGCACCCCAGCCUUGCUCCUCCAAGUAUGGUGCCGCCAGCAGCUUGGGCAGCACCAGGGAGUGUACAGAACCUCCGGCGGCACCCCAGACCUGCCGAAUCAGAAGCUAUAGUUCAGCAGGAUCCCCAAGGUGAUGGUGUGCUCCUCACUCAAGCUGAGAACUAAGUGGGAUCCUGCUGAAGUGGAGUCCGAUGAGCUUUCCUCACCACCCUUCUUCUGUGAUGGCCAGGGCUUCUCCCCGUGGAGGUUACAGGCUGUGCGGAAUGCGAUGACAUGUUUACUUUGGAGCAGACUUUGGCCAGUAAAUACACUCUCCACUCAGACCAGGAUCAGCCCCUGACAGAAGAUAGGCCCUUCCAAAAUAGCUGGAGCCUAAACUGGGAGAGCAGUUGGCUCUAAAAGCUCUAGAGAAGUAACUUGAGAACAAUCAGAAUGUGGUUGGCCAAACUUCGUGCGCCCUGGAAGGGUCCCUGUCCUCCAAAGGUGAAAGGUUUGGUUUUUCCUCUGCACUUCUGUCGGCCUGGACAGUGGACCAGUCACGUGAUCCCCAGUUGGCCAGGACCAGAGGGAGUCCGCACCAGAUAGCUUUCCAGAGUUCAGAACUUCUCCAGCACUAGCAAUGGUGGUCCUAACAACAACCGCCCCAGGUACUGAGCAAGGGUUUACAUCUAUCGCCGCACUGAACCCUCACAUACCUCUGUGAGGCAGGAACUGAGGCCCAGAGAGGUUACGCGAGCAGCCUCCAAGCUCCAAGCUCUGAAGCACCGCGCUACCUCCCAGGAAACCAUGGCAAGGCCAGGCAUGACACGAGUUCCAGGCAGAUCCAAGGUCGAAUGCCCGUUCUGCCGUUGAUGAGUUGUGUGGGAACUGCAACCCCCUCCCCCCUCCCUAGGUGACUCCCUAUCCUCCUCUCUGGCCUUAGUUUUCUUCUUGGCACAUCGCCUAGAUACAUCACUUAUCUCGUUUAUAUCGUCUUCCCAAGUAAUUCAUGAAGACACCACUGCCUAGAACCUGCCUGGCAUACAGCAGGUGCUCAGUAAAUAUUCGAUAUUGAAUGAAUGAAUGAACCCUUGCCUGAGGUUUUAGACUUCCGGUUCUGCUUCUCUGCAGUCCAUAACAUUAAGUAACUCAACUUCCAGGAACCUCAUUUUCCUCAGUGGUUGAAAAAGAGCAGUAGUAUUCACGCUCCAUGGCCCCGGUGAGCCUACGGGACAGGCAAGGCCUUGUAUGAGAAAGAGCCACCUCCAAAUACUCCAGGAACAGUUACUGAACGCCAGCUCCAUGCCAGCAGGAUGCCAGGCAUCGGGUUGGGGUACAGAUGGGCAUCAGAAGCCCCCCGCCCUCCAGUAACCUGUGACCUAGCUGAGCAGACAGACAAGUCAACAAAUGCUUACAACCCACUUGGUUCACAAAAUCUGAUCUAUAGUAAUCAUUUAUCAAGCUAAGCACUUUGCAUUAAUUGUUUCAUAUAACCCUAUGUAUUAGGUAUCACCACCAGCUCAAUUUUAUAGACAAAAAAAAAAACUGUUGCAAAAAGUUGAAAAACAAGGACUUAGUCCACACCUAAGUAUAAGCCCAAGAAAAAUGAAAAUGUGCACAUGGAAACUUGUAUGCAAACGUUUAAACAACAUUAUUCAUAUUAGCCAAAGGCAGAAACCACUCAAAUGUCCAUCGGUGGAUGAAUGAUAAACAAAAGGUGGUACAUUAAUGGAAUAUUAUUCAGCCAUGAAAAGGAAUGAAAUACUGACACAUUCUACAACUUGGAUGAACUUUGAAAGCAUGUUAAGUGAAAGAAGCCAGACACCAAAUGUAUGUGCUGUAUGCUUUAUCUGAUAUGUUGCAGCCAUAAUAGGAAAAUCCACAGAGGCUGCCAGUAGGUUAGAGGCUGCUAGGGGAGGGGCGGUGAGGACAGGGAGGGACAAUGCAAUGGAUACAAGGUGCUCUGUGAUGUGAUGGAAACAUUUUGAAACUAGGGAGAACUGGCUUUAGCACACCAUUGUGAAUACUUUAAAUACCACUGGACUGUACACUUUAAAAUGCUUCAUUGUGUGUCUUGUGAAUUUCACCCCCAUGAAGAAGAAACAGGGCCGGUGUUGUCCACGGUAAAGGCUGGGGCCAGGACCUGAGCCUGGGCAGUAGCUCAGAGCACGCGAUCCGAACAACUGCACAACUGCAAAUCUUAACCUCAGUAUUGUGUUUUUCAGCUCUGGAACUUCCACUGGCUUCUUUUUUAUGGUUUCCACUUUUCUGCUGAAAUUCUUAUCUAACUUCCUGAAUGUGUUAAUCAGUUAUUAGAGUCCCACCUCCAGCCUGGAGUUUUAUCAAAAAGCCACCACUAUGCUGGGCCCCACACUCCAGUGUUUGUCCCCCGGACCCCUAGACACCAAACUUCCGUCAGCUUCUCCGCGGCUCUGCUGCCUGAGUCAGCACAUGCCUUGAGGGGAAAGUGAACUCUCAGUUUCAGGCUUGUCCUUCUGGGCAAUUUCUAGGUGUUCUUGGUGGUGGUGGGAGGGGGGGCGUUGACCUGACACUAGCUCAUCUGCCAGAGUGACAGCAGGAAGAAUCGGCCCUGCCACACACUAACUGCCUCACCACCCCCGUCCUGCUCUUCUCCCAACAAAGGUAAAGACCUCAAAAUUAAAAUCCAAAAAAAUUGCCCUGCCUGGGUGGCUCAGUCGAUUGGAGCAUCACCCACAUACAAAAGGGCUGCAGGCUCCAUCCCUGGUCAGGGCACAUACCUAGGCUGUGGGUUCAGUCGGGGUGCAUAGGGGAGGAAACCAAUCAAUUUUUUUUCUCUCUCUCUCCCUCUCCCUUCCUCUGUCUCCAGAAAAAUCAAUGAACAUAUCCUUGUGUGAGGAUUUUUUUAAAAGCAAAAA